GAUGAACGCUAGCUACAGGCUUAACACAUGCAAGUCGAGGGGAAACGACAUCGAAAGCUUGCUUUUGAUGGGCGUCGACCGGCGCACGGGUGAGUAACGCGUAUCCAACCUGCCCACCACUUGGGGAUAACCUUGCGAAAGUAAGACUAAUACCCAAUGAUAUCUCUAGAAGACAUCUGAAGGAGAUUAAAGAUUUAUCGGUGAUGGAUGGGGAUGCGUCUGAUUAGCUUGUUGGCGGGGUAACGGCCCACCAAGGCGACGAUCAGUAGGGGGUCUGAGAGGAAGGGCCCCCACAUUGGAACUGAGACACGGUCCAAACUCCUACGGGAGGCAGCAGUGAGGAAUAUUGGUCAAUGGGCGAGAGCCUGAACCAGCCAAGUAGCGUGCAGGAUGACGGCCCUAUGGGUUGUAAACUGCUUUUAUAAGGGAAUAAAGUGAGCCUCGUGAGGCUUUUUGCAUGUACCUUAUGAAUAAGGACUGGCUAAUUCCGUGCCAGCCGCCGCCGUAA
Molecule: ribosomal RNA, 508 nt
Filed under: uncultured bacterium
Lineage: Bacteria
Description: partial 16S ribosomal RNA
Rfam family: Bacterial small subunit ribosomal RNA
Source: RNAcentral